RNAcentral lists this ribosomal RNA (253 nucleotides) under uncultured bacterium. RNAcentral's name for it is "partial 16S ribosomal RNA". It matches the Rfam family "Bacterial small subunit ribosomal RNA", at positions 524 to 776 of the family's 1533-position model. The record is from RNAcentral.
UACGUAGGGACCAAGCGUUGUCCGGAAUCAUUGGGCGUAAAGAGCGUGUAGGCGGCUUGUUAAGUCUUGCGUGAAAUCUCGGGGCUCAACCCCGAGCGGUCGUGAGAAACUGGCAGGCUAGAGUGCGGGAGAGGAGAGUGGAAUUCCUGGUGUAGCGGUGAAAUGCGCAGAUAUCAGGAAGAACACCAAUGGCGAAAGCAGCUUUCUGGGACGGUACUGACGCUGAGACGCGAAAGCGUGGGGAGCGAACAGG